Molecule: long non-coding RNA, 765 nt
Organism: Salvia miltiorrhiza (redroot sage)
Lineage: Eukaryota; Viridiplantae; Streptophyta; Magnoliopsida; Lamiales; Lamiaceae
Exons: 2
Source: RefSeq, a predicted model, not a curated record
AUUGCCAGUGUGUAAUAAACGGCCGAUGAUAAAAUGACAUCACUUUGUUCUGCAUUAUACGAUGUCGUUUGGUUAUAUUAAGUUGGGAAAUUUGAAUUGGGCAUAAAAUUAGGGUAAGCUACUCUUCUUCUUUGCUAAAGAAGCAGAACACGUAGAGAAGAAGGAGUUCUGCAAAUGUUGGGCUUUGGCUUGCUACAACAACAAGAUUUAGGAAGCAUAAGUUGGGCAAUCUUUAAUUGGGCAUAAAAGUAGGGUAAAUAUCUCACUUUCAUCGUUAAAGAAGAAGAACGCUAAAGAGAGGUUGGGGCUUUGGCUCGCUACAACAACAACAUUGAUGGGUGAUUAUUUUCUCGUUCGUCAUCGAGCGCGAGGAAUAUAACAGAACCUACUCGAUUUUUCUAUUACAACAUUGCUGCGUUGGGGGAUGACUGUGGAUUUUGGGAAUGGAAGGAUCAAGACGAGUUUUUUCUAAGGAUUAGGAACGAAAGGGACAAUGCAAAGAUGCAAAUUUACAGUCGAGCUGUUGUUAUGAAUUUCCCAAGUGAAGAAGCCCAUAAAGAAGAUGAAGACUUGAAGUUGUUGAAAAAAUCAGUUGUUGAAAAAAUCAAUUUCCAGUCCAGUUGUAAAUUUCGUCCUUUUGUGUUUUGAUUAGGGCUUUUGUUUAGUUAUUAUCUUUUGUUUGUUUAUUUUAAUCGAUGACCACAUAAAUUGAAAAGGUGCUUUGUUUUGUUUAAGUUAAUCGAUGACACCAUAAAGAAUUUUCAA